UACGUAGGGGGCAAGCGUUAUCCGGAUUUACUGGGUGUAAAGGGAGCGUAGACGGCGUGCCAAGUCUGAUGUGAAAGGCCGGGGCUCAACCCCGGGACUGCAUUGGAAACUGGCAUGCUAGAGUGCCGGAGGGGCAAGCGGAAUCCCUAGUGUAGCGGUGAAAUGCGUAGAUAUUAGGAGGAACACCAGUGGCGAAGGCGAUUUGCUGGGCCAUUACUGACGCUCAUGCACGAAAGCGUGGGGAGCAAAUAGG
This 253-nucleotide ribosomal RNA is filed under the name uncultured Eubacteriales bacterium. Its description in RNAcentral is "uncultured Clostridiales bacterium partial 16S ribosomal RNA". It matches the Rfam family "Bacterial small subunit ribosomal RNA", at positions 524 to 776 of the family's 1533-position model. The record is from RNAcentral. Lineage: Bacteria; Bacillati; Bacillota; Clostridia; Eubacteriales.